UUUUGUAUUUUUUUUUUCAUCGCGACCUGUCAAAAUUUCGUAGUUUUGAGAAUCAAUAUUUUGAAUUUGAAUGGUAAGUUUUAAAAUAUUAUUGGAAUUGUGAUUGUUUCUAGUAAUUAUUAUUUACAGCACACCCGAACAAAGCAGCCACAAGAGCAGCAUUUUUCGUCACCAGCCAUCUAUCUACUUGAUAAGUUUUCAACAACAACAACCAGGUGCUACAAAUCAGCUCAACUUGACUCAACAUCCUGGAUCUGGCAAUCAGCCAACCAACAUUAAAUCGAUACAACCGUAGCAGUACCAACAACUCCAAAUCCAGCAGCUGCCAACAAUCUCUCAAAAAAGAACCACAGCAAUUACAGCUCAGAACCAACAAAGCAACAAGAGCUUUUUUACGAAUAAUGGACCCAUCGGAAACACUUUAUCGGCACAUUCUGUCGUAAAACUUGCCUGCCACUAUUCUUACCAGCGGUUACCUUCCUGAUGUAGAGAAAUCAGAGUCAAACACAAACGUCAUAUUACUGCCUUGGCUCCUACCAGUUGCUUGCAUGAAAAUAUCGCUGCCUCCACAGUGCUCGUGAUUUCAUCCCAGCAGCAGCUAGCAACCACAAUUCCAGUGCUUAUCGCCAGCAACAUCAGAAAAUUAAGAUUUCCCCCAGACCAUGACCAUCAUCCGACAGAUCGGUAGCAACGUUCAACUGACGGUACAACCUGGCCAGCAACCGCAAGUAGUGCAAUCGAUCCAAGCCAAUCAGGGCCAAAUGUAGAAGACCAUUGGUCAACUGCAAUAAAAAGAUACAUCAACAGCACCUUCAAACACAGUAGCAGCAGCAUACUGUACUGUACCACGCCGCGUGCAGGACUUUUUUUAUUCAGUUGGUGCAGCAAGAUCGAACAGCAACCAUAGCGGAUACACAUCACCGAACACCAGCAACAUAAUGCCAUGGUAACCACCCAGCAGCAGAACACGGCGAUAAUGGGCCAACAGUAAAUACAACAUCAAGAUCCUCGGAAAGGACUCCCUUUUACGAACAAACAUAAUGGAAGCAUACUCUACACGCGCGACAUAUUCAAUCGGGCCAACCGUGUGACUCGUUUGGCAAAAAGGGCUCAUCAUCGGUUUCAUGGCAGCGAAGUGAGCAGACAAAAGAAGGCGUUUUUCCCGAAUGGUCGCUCUGGGCAAAAGUUCAGCUAAUUGCAAGGAACAAACCACCGGAGUGACAGUAUCCGUGCUGAUUCAGGACCUUUUGACAUUAAAAAUGUCUUACUCCACUAUCUGGGGCUAGGUGUCAUUCUAAAAUCUAAACUAUCUCCCAUGUAACGAAACUAUGUAAGGUUUGCACGCUUAUAACUCCGAUAUUACUAGAUGGAUUUUAAUCAUUCAUACACCAACCGAUUCAGA
Topomyia yanbarensis is the source of this 1402-nucleotide long non-coding RNA. RefSeq lists it as uncharacterized. NCBI's taxonomy places the organism in Eukaryota, Metazoa, Arthropoda, Insecta, Diptera, Culicidae. The transcript has 3 exons. The record is from RefSeq and is a predicted model, not a curated record.